This 729-nucleotide ribosomal RNA is filed under the name Pseudoalteromonas sp. RNAcentral describes it as "bacterial SSU rRNA". It matches the Rfam family "Bacterial small subunit ribosomal RNA", at positions 62 to 780 of the family's 1533-position model. The record is from RNAcentral. Lineage: Bacteria; Pseudomonadati; Pseudomonadota; Gammaproteobacteria; Alteromonadales; Pseudoalteromonadaceae.
UCGAGCGGUAACAGAGAGUAGCUUGCUACUCUGCUGACGAGCGGCGGACGGGUGAGUAAUGCUUGGGAAUGUACCUUAUGGUGGGGGACAACAGUUGGAAACGACUGCUAAUACCGCAUAAUGUCUUCGGACCAAAGCGGGGGACCUUCGGGCCUCGCGCCAUAAGAUCAGCCCAAGUGGGAUUAGCUAGUUGGUGAGGUAAUGGCUCACCAAGGCGACGAUCCCUAGCUGGUUUGAGAGGAUGAUCAGCCACACUGGGACUGAGACACGGCCCAGACUCCUACGGGAGGCAGCAGUGGGGAAUAUUGCACAAUGGGCGCAAGCCUGAUGCAGCCAUGCCGCGUGUGUGAAGAAGGCCUUCGGGUUGUAAAGCACUUUCAGUAAGGAGGAAAGGUUGGAUGUUAAUAGCAUUCAGCUGUGACGUUACUUACAGAAGAAGCACCGGCUAACUCCGUGCCAGCAGCCGCGGUAAUACGGAGGGUGCGAGCGUUAAUCGGAAUUACUGGGCGUAAAGCGUACGCAGGCGGUUUGUUAAGCGAGAUGUGAAAGCCCCGGGCUCAACCUGGGAACUGCAUUUCGAACUGGCAAACUAGAGUGUGAUAGAGGGUGGUAGAAUUUCAGGUGUAGCGGUGAAAUGCGUAGAGAUCUGAAGGAAUACCGAUGGCGAAGGCAGCCACCUGGGUCAACACUGACGCUCAUGUACGAAAGCGUGGGGAGCAAACAGGAUUA